ACGGCUCAGUAACACGUAGUCAACCUAACUCGUGGACGUGGAUAACCUCGGGAAACUGAGAAUAAACCACGAUAGAUCAUAGUGCCUGGAAUGGCUUAUGGUCCAAACAGUUUACUGCCAUGGGAUGGGACUGCGGCCUAUCAGCUUGUUGGUGAGGUAAUGGCCCACCAAGGCGAUUACAGGUACGGGCUCUGAGAGGAGAAGCCCGGAGAUGGGUACUGAGACACGGACCCAGGCCCUAUGGGGCGCAGCAGGCGAGAAACCUUAGCAAUGUGCGAAAGCACGACUGGGUCAGUCCGAGUGAUUCCUGAUAAAGGAGUCUUUUGCUUGUCCUAAAAGCACAGGUGAAUAAGGGGUGGGCAAGUCUGGUGUCAGCCGCCGCGGUAAUACCAGCACCUCGAGUGGUCAGGACGUUUAUUGGGCCUAAAGCAUCCGUAGCCGGCUCUGCAAGUCUUCGGUUAAAUCCACCUGCUCAACAGAUGGGCUGCUGGAGAUACUACAGAGCUAGGGAGUGGGAGAGGCAGACGGUAUUCAGUGGGUAGGGGUAAAAUCCUCUGAUCCAUUGAGGACCACCAGUGGCGAAGGCGGUCUGCCAGAACACGUUCGACGGUGAGGGAUGAAAGCUGGGGGAGCAAACCGGAUUAGAUACCCGGGUAGUCCCAGCUGUAAACGAUGCAAACUCGGUGAUGCAUUGGCUUAUGGCCAAUGCAGUGCCGCAGGGAAGCCGUUAAGUUUGCCGCCUGGGAAGUACGGACGCAAGUCUGAAACUUAAAGGAAUUGGCGGGGGAGCAC
RNAcentral lists this ribosomal RNA (792 nucleotides) under uncultured archaeon. RNAcentral describes it as "bacterial SSU rRNA". It matches the Rfam family "Archaeal small subunit ribosomal RNA", at positions 85 to 879 of the family's 1478-position model. The record is from RNAcentral.